GGGWGAAGUCGUAACAAGGUAACCGUAGGGGAACCUGCGGUUGGAUCACCUCCUUUCUAAGGAAAAACGCUGUUGUCUUAGUAUCUGUUUCGCACACAACAUCACAGGCUGUGGGAGGAGUCUUCGGACUCUGAACCUAGGGGCUAGUAGCUCAGUUGGUUAGAGCACACGCUUGAUAAGCGUGGGGUCGGAGGUUCAAGUCCUCCCUGGCCCACCAUUACAAAGUUUAGGUGUGGUUACUGAAAGCUUUCGAGUUUCUGGUAGCGACAUGNAAGUGUGUUAAGGGGUUUUGAGAUCUGAGCAGGCAGAUUCGAUGGNNGCAACGUAAUANACAUUAAGUACAUGAGGCGCCGACAGAUGAAGCUAACGAACUUAGAACGCAAAAGAACUAACACAAUUUGGGGGUGUAGCUCACCUUGGGAGAGCGCCUGCCUUGCACGCAGGAGGGCAUCGNGUUCGAUCCCGUUCACCUCCACCAA
Molecule: unclassified non-coding RNA, 479 nt
Filed under: uncultured bacterium
Lineage: Bacteria
Description: partial contains 16S ribosomal RNA and 16S-23S ribosomal RNA intergenic spacer
Rfam family: tRNA (bases 141-214)
Source: RNAcentral